Molecule: ribosomal RNA, 475 nt
Filed under: Arthrobacter sp. Nj-30
Lineage: Bacteria; Bacillati; Actinomycetota; Actinomycetes; Micrococcales; Micrococcaceae
Description: bacterial SSU rRNA
Rfam family: Bacterial small subunit ribosomal RNA
Source: RNAcentral
GCUAACUACGUGCCAGCAGCCGCGGUAAUACGUAGGGCGCAAGCGUUAUCCGGAAUUAUUGGGCGUAAAGAGCUCGUAGGCGGUUUGUCGCGUCUGCCGUGAAAGUCCGGGGUCAACUCCGGAUCUGCGGUGGGUACGGGCAGACUAGAGUGAUGUAGGGAGACUGGAAUUCCUGGUGUAGCGGUGAAAUGCGCAGAUAUCAGGAGGAACACCGAUGGCGAAGGCAGGUCUCUGGGCAUUAACUGACGCUGAGGAGCGAAAGCAUGGGGAGCGAACAGGAUUAGAUACCCUGGUAGUCCAUGCCGUAAACGUUGGGCACUAGGUGUGGGGGACAUUCCACGUUUUCCGCGCCGUAGCUAACGCAUUAAGUGCCCCGCCUGGGGAGUACGGCCGCAAGGCUAAAACUCAAAGGAAUUGACGGGGGCCCGCACAAGCGGCGGAGCAUGCGGAUUAAUUCGAUGCAACGCGAAGAACU